Non-coding RNA from Jatropha curcas, 87 nucleotides. The record is from Rfam. Lineage: Eukaryota; Viridiplantae; Streptophyta; Magnoliopsida; Malpighiales; Euphorbiaceae.
GCCAUUGAUGACUAUUUCUAUUACGUGAAGCAAGUCAUGAGACUUGGGAAAUGUCGAAACUUUCAUGAAACUAGGACGGUCUGAGGC